UACGGAGGGUGCAAGCGUUAAUCGGAAUUACUGGGCGUAAAGCGCACGCAGGCGGUUUGUUAAGUCAGAUGUGAAAUCCCCGGGCUCAACCUGGGAAUAGCAUUUGAAACUGGCAAACUUGAGUCCAGUAGAGGGGGGUAGAAUUCCAGGUGUAGCGGUGAAAUGCGUAGAGAUGUGGAGGAAUACCGGUGGCGAAGGCGGCCUCCUGGAC
RNAcentral lists this ribosomal RNA (211 nucleotides) under uncultured bacterium. RNAcentral describes it as "partial 16S ribosomal RNA". It matches the Rfam family "Bacterial small subunit ribosomal RNA", at positions 524 to 734 of the family's 1533-position model. The record is from RNAcentral.